AUACAAUUGCAGAUCUGUUCAAGAAGCUUUCCUAUGACCUUCCUAACAUAUAAAAUCUUUCCCUUCCAGACUGAGCUGGGAAGGAUGUCAUACUGAUGGAAACACAACCACAGAAGUUGCUUCUUUUCAUCUCAAAGUCCUGAAUAGCUGUUGAAGAGGACUGCCAUCAGCAUCCAGUUGUUCUUGUAGCAGCCUUGGCAAAUGAACCACCACUGCCUUUAAAUGACAAAAGACUGAGGUUGGAAGGGACAUCUGGAGACCAUCUGGUCCAGGCCUCUGCUCAAGCAAGGCCAUCUAAAGCUGAUUGCCCAGGACCACACCCAGUCGAUGUUUGAAGAUCUCCGGGAAGGAAAAAUACUCACAGUGUAAGUUUUUCAUCUAUAUUUGCUUAUCAGUGCCUGAAAGCCUUAUAAGACUUAAACCAGAGAAAUCUGGUAAUUCCAUGAUCAAAACCAGAUAGCUAACUAAAAAAAUAUCAUAAUCAUGAAAUUUGGCAGCUAAAUCAAAACUCCAGUUCUGUAGGCUGUUGUAGCUAUAUUGUCAACAGAGUACUGUGAUUCAUUCUGUGAUUCAUACUGCUGAGAGAAGGCCCAAAUUCCCACCUAUCAGUCAUAUAUUCUAGCCAGAGCAAUCCAUACAUUCUACCUUGGUCUGUAACACUUUAGUCCCAGUAAAAUAAUGGCUGGGGAAGCUUCUGAAUGAAUUAUAGCUUCUUGUUCCAGGUAGCUCCAGCAUCUUGCUCUGGCUUCACCCUGUAAGUAUGCUUGGAGAACGAAUUAUCCUUUCACUUUUUCCCAAUUACUAUUAAUUAACAGCAGUUUUUUAUCUAUGACUUUUCUGAGUCAGACUGAGAACAUCUUUAUGGCAGGAAUCAUAAGUCCUUUCCAUCUACGAAGAAGAGGACAAAUUUUUUGUAGGUCUACUGGCCAUGCACUGUCCAUAACUCUGUGUUAUUCUGUCCCAGUUAUUCUGAUCACUGUCUGAUCUCUACUUUCAGGGAUAAGGAGAGAGGAGGAACUCUGCAUUUACUAUAUUCCAUCACUGGUGAGACAGAACAUCUUUCUGGAAUCAGUGAAUCCCUUCUCAUCAACUUCUUGUUUGACCUACCUGCAAAUAUACUAUUUGGAUAUUGUUUCUCAGUCCUUCUAACCCCUUUUCUCUCUGGACCCUACUGGAAUCAAAUAGUCUUCCCUUCCUGAAAUACGCCUUCCUCAGGUUAUUCACAGAUCAGUGGGUUUUCCGGCUAAUACAGGUCCUGAUGCUCUUCUGUCUUCACACAUGGUAUUCAUCAUAUCUUGACAAGAAAAGACCUUCAGUCUACAAAUAACCUUCACUGAAGUAAGACAUUGGUUGUUUAAAUUAUUGGACUUCCGCAUAUGUUAUAUAUUUUCAUCUAUUUGAUUUGGAGAAGUGCAUUUUUAAUACCUCCAAGUAUAAUGUCUUGUAGAAGAUCUGGUAAGUAUAAAAUAUGAUAACUUCUCUACCCAAUGCAGGAAGUGUUUUAAGAUCUGUAGAUCUGUAAGAUCUUGCUGUGGGAACAACCAAAACUAUUUAAUAAAUACAUAUAUUUAAUUUCUUAAGUAAAAUUAUUGUUAACAGUUUCCCUUCUUUGGUGAACUGUAAAAUGUAAAUGUCUUUACAAAAUCAACCUUUUCUCAAGAAACCUCUGGUAAGAUGGGCCCUGUAAUGGUAUUUUCAACUUCAGAGCUGAAAAGAGUUAAAAAUGAGAAAUGCAUUU
Non-coding RNA from Meleagris gallopavo (turkey), 1738 nucleotides. Lineage: Eukaryota; Metazoa; Chordata; Aves; Galliformes; Phasianidae. The record is from RefSeq and is a predicted model, not a curated record.